UUUCUUCAAUUUUUUUAUCAUUUUAUAUUAUGUACUAACCGUAUAAUUAGCAAGUGAUAAACUUUUUAUUGUAAAAAUAUUUUGUAUUGUAAAAAAUAUUAAUUUGAUAGGUAAUUAGGGAAGAAAUUUUUUACACCAGAAAAAUAAUACUGAAAAUAAAAUUCCUAUGAUCUAGUAAAAUCCCUACGAUCUUACUCCCUAGAGUAACACAAUUCCCCACUCUUUCGUUAAAACUGUGUCACGUGGUAUCCAUUAGUUCCGAUCGCGACGCGUCGAUUAUUUGGCGUUUUGUGUUCAUGGCGAAGCCUGAAAGAAGUCUUGGGAGGAAGCCGUUGCAAGCCACCCUAAAGAAGAAGUAUAACUUCCACGAACAAUAGCCGGUCGUUAUCUUGACCGGCGCUUCGCCGUAAUUUCUACGAAAGCCUUGCUAGUCCCCUCUUUUUUUUUCCGCCAUUCCUUUUUCACGUUUUGUUUUCUCGCCGUAGGCACGCAUUGUACUCGCGUUGUAUCCUUUCCGUGAACACGAUCGCCUCAACAAUGCACUGCCAUUGACUCUCUUUCACUGGAUCGUUGGAUCAGAAUGUGCAAGAAAGAAGAAGCAGAUAGAAAGUUUCUGAGUUAAACAAUUACUUAUUAUAUUUGAUUAUUAAAUUUAAUAAUCACAUUCCAAAACAAAAAUAACAAUAAAUAUAUUAAUAACCUCCACUUACCAUCCAUCAUGUGUCGAAGUACUUAGAUGUUAAUCUUCUGGAAAAAUAUUUGCCCAAGAAGAGGAGUGUGGCCGUAAUAAAAAGCGGCGCAUAGAUGCAUCCCUGCACGGCAGUAAAGACGCCGGCCGAGACAUCCAACGAGGGAGCAGCAAACCGUUCGGAAUAUUUCGUUUCUGGCGGAAGCGUGUCGGUGUUAUCUCCGCCUCUGGCGUCAGUCGGAGCCCAGCCACGUUCGACUCGUGGCGACUUUCGUCUGAAUAAUUUCUGGUAUCUCAUUGACCCAUCUUGGGAACGCACGUAGAAGAAGGCGGGUUUCGAGCGACAGCUUUGUGGCGCCUCCGCGAUUAGAAAAAUUAAGAAACCAAAGAAGGUGGAUUAAGGAUCGCGCAUAUAUUCGAGAUAAUUUUGCGUGCUGCGAAAUAUUUAAGAAUGGCUAUAAAAGUUGAUGAUUGUAUAAUCAUAGUUAAAUCUAAAGUCAUCUGAAAAUCGAUGAUAUUGUGUUAGAUCACUGAAUUUGUCUUUCUGAUGUUAGCCGUUAGUAAUAUCAUCGAAAUUAAUCGUUGAUAUUAAUUUUUUUAUUGAAAAAAGAAAAAUUCUUUAGAAAUUUUUAAUAUUUAAAUAUGUAGUCAAUUGAAAAAUGAUUAA
Molecule: long non-coding RNA, 1355 nt
Filed under: Apis mellifera (honey bee)
Lineage: Eukaryota; Metazoa; Arthropoda; Insecta; Hymenoptera; Apidae
Description: uncharacterized LOC102654172, transcript variant X2
Source: RNAcentral